Molecule: ribosomal RNA, 586 nt
Filed under: uncultured bacterium
Lineage: Bacteria
Description: partial 16S ribosomal RNA
Rfam family: Bacterial small subunit ribosomal RNA
Source: RNAcentral
UGGGGAAUUUUGGACAAUGGGGGAAACCCUGAUCCAGCCAUCCCGCGUGUGCGAUGAAGGCCUUCGGGUUGUAAAGCACUUUUGGCAGGAAAGAAACGUCGCGGGUUAAUACCCCGCGAAACUGACGGUACCUGCAGAAUAAGCACCGGCUAACUACGUGCCAGCAGCCGCGGUAAUACGUAGGGUGCAAGCGUUAAUCGGAAUUACUGGGCGUAAAGCGUGCGCAGGCGGUUCGGAAAGAAAGAUGUGAAAUCCCAGAGCUUAACUUUGGAACUGCAUUUUUAACUACCGGGCUAGAGUGUGUCAGAGGGAGGUGGAAUUCCGCGUGUAGCAGUGAAAUGCGUAGAUAUGCGGAGGAACACCGAUGGCGAAGGCAGCCUCCUGGGAUAACACUGACGCUCAUGCACGAAAGCGUGGGGAGCAAACAGGAUUAGAUACCCUGGUAGUCCACGCCCUAAACGAUGUCAACUAGCUGUUGGGGCCUUCGGGCCUUGGUAGCGCAGCUAACGCGUGAAGUUGACCGCCUGGGGAGUACGGUCGCAAGAUUAAAACUCAAAUGAAUUGACGGGGUCAUAGCUGUUUUCCU